GACGAACGCUGGCGGCGUGCUUAACACAUGCAAGUCGAACGGAAAGGCCUCUUUCGGGGGGUACUCGAGUGGCGAACGGGUGAGUAACACGUGAGUAACCUGCCCUUGACUUUGGGAUAACUUCAGGAAACUGGGGCUAAUACCGGAUAGGAGCUCCUGCUGCAUGGUGGGGGUGGUAAAGUUUCGGCGGUUGGGGAUGGACUCGCGGCUUAUCAGCUUGUUGGUGGGGUAGUGGCUUACCAAGGCUUUGACGGGUAGCCGGCCUGAGAGGGUGACCGGCCACAUUGGGACUGGGAUACGGCCCAGACUCCUACGGGAGGCAGCAGUGGGGAAUAUUGCACAAUGGGUGGAAGCCUGAUGCAGCAACGCCGUGUGCGGGAUGACGGCCUUCGGGUUGUAAACCGCUUUCGCUCAUGACGAAGCUUUGUGUGACGGUAGUGGGUAAAGAAGCACCGGCUAACUACGUG
RNAcentral lists this ribosomal RNA (467 nucleotides) under uncultured bacterium. RNAcentral's name for it is "partial 16S ribosomal RNA". It matches the Rfam family "Bacterial small subunit ribosomal RNA", at positions 28 to 507 of the family's 1533-position model. The record is from RNAcentral.